AGCUUUUUGAAUCCACACAGAGAUUUCGUCAGACACCAACCGAUUAGGGCUGAUCAGACUUUUUAGAUAAGUGAAGUU
RNAcentral lists this microRNA precursor (78 nucleotides) under Schistosoma mansoni. RNAcentral describes it as "mir-3492 microRNA precursor family". It matches the Rfam family "mir-3492 microRNA precursor family". The record is from Rfam by way of RNAcentral. Lineage: Eukaryota; Metazoa; Platyhelminthes; Trematoda; Strigeidida; Schistosomatidae.